This 389-nucleotide transfer RNA is filed under the name Burkholderia pseudomallei. RNAcentral describes it as "tRNA Lys anticodon CTT, Cove score 94.68". The record is from RNAcentral. Lineage: Bacteria; Pseudomonadati; Pseudomonadota; Betaproteobacteria; Burkholderiales; Burkholderiaceae.
GCGACGACCAUCGCGGUAUCGGCGGCCGCCAUGAACACCUGCCCGCAGAUCACGCCGCCCGAAUGGCGAAAUUCGCCGGAGAACGGCAGCCGGAGGGUGACGCUCUCCUCGGAAAUCGAUACGGGAGUGAGGGAAAGAGAACGGACCCACGGAGCAAGGAGCCGAUCCAGCAAAUCACGGACAGUGUUUUCGUCCAUUGUCGUACGCCCAGAAAGAGCCGCGCGCCCGCCGCGCGACAGGGUUUCGGCGACAUCAUACCGGGAGCGCGCACGAUGCGACGGAUCGUGCGCGUUCGGAACGGCAAUGCGCGGCCGACGGACGCGCUUCGAAAAAAAUGCAAAAAAGGCUAGACAAGCUUGAAAAGCCCAUGCAUAAUUUCGCUUCUGUUG